RNAcentral lists this ribosomal RNA (219 nucleotides) under uncultured bacterium. Its description in RNAcentral is "partial 16S ribosomal RNA". It matches the Rfam family "Bacterial small subunit ribosomal RNA", at positions 583 to 793 of the family's 1533-position model. The record is from RNAcentral.
UUAAGUCAGAUGUGAAAGACCCGGGGCGUUAACCUCGGAAGUUGCAUUUGAAACUGGCAGGCUAGAGUCUUGUAGAGGGGGUAGGAAGUUUCAGGUGUAGCGGUGAAAUGCGUAGAGAUCUGAAGGAAUACCAGUGGCGAAGGCGGCCCCCUCGGACAAAGACUGACGCUCAGACUGCGAAAGCGUGGGGAGCCAAACAGGAUUAGAUACCCCUGGUAG